UACGUAGGGUGCAAGCGUUGUCCGGAAUUAUUGGGCGUAAAGAGCUCGUAGGCGGUCUGUCGCGCUGCUGUGAAAACUCAGGGCUUAACCCUGAGCUUGCAGUGGGUACGGGCAGACUAGAGUGCGGGUAGGGGAGACUGGAAUUCCUGGCGUAGCGGUGAAAUGCGCAGAUAUCAGGAAGAACACCCGUGGCUAAGGCGGCUCUCUAGUACGGUA
RNAcentral lists this ribosomal RNA (216 nucleotides) under uncultured bacterium. RNAcentral describes it as "partial 16S ribosomal RNA". It matches the Rfam family "Bacterial small subunit ribosomal RNA", at positions 524 to 739 of the family's 1533-position model. The record is from RNAcentral.